GAUGAACGCUGGCGGCGUGCCUAAUACAUGCAAGUCGAGCGAACAGACGAGGAGCUUGCUCCUCUGACGUUAGCGGCGGACGGGUGAGUAACACGUGGAUAACCUACCUAUAAGACUGGGAUAACUUCGGGAAACCGGAGCUAAUACCGGAUAAUAUAUUGAACCGCAUGGUUCAAUAGUGAAAGACGGUUUUGCUGUCACUUAUAGAUGGAUCCGCGCCGCAUUAGCUAGUUGGUAAGGUAACGGCUUACCAAGGCAACGAUGCGUAGCCGACCUGAGAGGGUGGUCGGCCACACUGGAACGGAGACGCGGUCCAGACUCCGACGGGAGGCAGCAGUAGGGAAUGUGCCGCAAGGGGGGAAAGCCGGACGGAGCAACGCCGCGUGAGUGAUGAAGGUCUUGGGAGCGUGAAACUGGGUUAUGAGGGAGGAAGGGGUGGGGAGGGAGGGAGGCAGGUGGUGAGGGUAGCGAGUCAGAGAGCCGCGGCUAACUACGGG
RNAcentral lists this ribosomal RNA (497 nucleotides) under uncultured bacterium. RNAcentral's name for it is "partial 16S ribosomal RNA". It matches the Rfam family "Bacterial small subunit ribosomal RNA", at positions 28 to 507 of the family's 1533-position model. The record is from RNAcentral.